This 119-nucleotide ribosomal RNA is filed under the name Aegilops tauschii subsp. strangulata. The record is from RNAcentral. Lineage: Eukaryota; Viridiplantae; Streptophyta; Magnoliopsida; Poales; Poaceae.
GGAUGCGGUCAUACCAGCACUAAAGCACCGGAUCCCAUCAGAACUCCGUAGUUAAGCGUGCUUGGGCGAGAGUAGUACUAGGAUGGGUGACCUCCUGGGAAGUCCUCGUGUUGCAUUCC